This 1035-nucleotide ribosomal RNA is filed under the name Botrytis cinerea. Its description in RNAcentral is "SSU rRNA". It matches the Rfam family "Eukaryotic small subunit ribosomal RNA", at positions 54 to 1097 of the family's 1831-position model. Lineage: Eukaryota; Fungi; Ascomycota; Leotiomycetes; Helotiales; Sclerotiniaceae. The record is from RNAcentral.
CCGAUGUCUAGUAUAAGCAACUAUACUGUGAAACUGCGAAUGGCUCAUUAAAUCAGUUAUCGUUUAUUUGAUAGUACCUUACUACAUGGAUAACCGUGGUAAUUCUAGAGCUAAUACAUGCUAAAAACCUCGACUUCGGAAGGGGUGUAUUUAUUAGAUAAAAAACCAAUGCCCUUCGGGGCUCCCUGGUGAUUCAUAAUAACUUAACGAAUCGCAUGGCCUUGUGCCGGCGAUGGUUCAUUCAAAUUUCUGCCCUAUCAACUUUCGAUGGUAGGAUAGUGGCCUACCAUGGUUUCAACGGGUAACGGGGAAUUAGGGUUCUAUUCCGGAGAAGGAGCCUGAGAAACGGCUACUACAUCCAAGGAAGGCAGCAGGCGCGCAAAUUACCCAAUCCCGACACGGGGAGGUAGUGACAAUAAAUACUGAUACAGGGCUCUUUUGAGUCUUGUAAUUGGAAUGAGUACAAUUUAAAUACCUUAACGAGGAACAAUUGGAGGGCAAGUCUGGUGCCAGCAGCCGCGGUAAUUCCAGCUCCAAUAGCGUAUAUUAAAGUUGUUGCAGUUAAAAAGCUCGUAGUUGAACCUUGGGCCUGGUUGGCCGGUCCGCCUCACCGCGUGCACUGGUCCGACCGGGUCUUUCCUUCUGGGGAGCCGCAUGCCCUUCACUGGGUGUGUCGGGGAACCAGGACUUUUACUUUGAAAAAAUUAGAGUGUUCAAAGCAGGCCUAUGCUCGAAUACAUUAGCAUGGAAUAAUAGAAUAGGACGUGUGGUUCUAUUUUGUUGGUUUCUAGGACCGCCGUAAUGAUUAAUAGGGAUAGUCGGGGGCAUCAGUAUUCAAUUGUCAGAGGUGAAAUUCUUGGAUUUAUUGAAGACUAACUACUGCGAAAGCAUUUGCCAAGGAUGUUUUCAUUAAUCAGUGAACGAAAGUUAGGGGAUCGAAGACGAUCAGAUACCGUCGUAGUCUUAACCAUAAACUAUGCCGACUAGGGAUCGGGCGAUGUUAUCUUUUUGACUCGCUCGGCACCUCACGAGAAA